Molecule: ribosomal RNA, 226 nt
Filed under: uncultured bacterium
Lineage: Bacteria
Description: partial 16S ribosomal RNA
Rfam family: Bacterial small subunit ribosomal RNA
Source: RNAcentral
UACGUAGGAUGCAAGCGUUGUCCGGAUUUACUGGGCGUAAAGCGCGCGCAGGCGGCACUCUAAGUACGUCGUGAAAUAUCCCGGCUCAACCGGGAGGUGCGAUGUAGACUAGGGAGCUAGGGGUCGGUAGAGGGGGUGGAAUUGCUGGUGUAGCGGUGAAAUGCGUAGAGAUCAGCAGGAACACCCGUGGCGAAGGCGGCCCCCUGGGCCGAUAAAAAGAUCCCUG